CAGCAGCCACGGUAAUACAGAGGAUGCAAGCGUUAUCCGGAAUUACUGGGCGUAAAGCGGGCGCAGACGGUUACUUAAGCAGGAUGUGAAAUCCCCGGGCUCAACCUGGGAACUGCGUUCUGAACUGGGUGACUAGAGUGUGUCAGAGGGAGGUAGAAUUCCACGUGUAGCAGUGAAAUGCGUAGAGAUGUGGAGGAAUACCGAUGGCGAAGGCAGCCUCCUGGGAUAACACUGACGUUCAUGCCCGAAAGCGUGGGUAGCAAACAGGAUUAGAUACCCCGGUAGUCCCUGUCUCUUAUAC
Molecule: ribosomal RNA, 301 nt
Filed under: uncultured bacterium
Lineage: Bacteria
Description: partial 16S ribosomal RNA
Rfam family: Bacterial small subunit ribosomal RNA
Source: RNAcentral